Molecule: unclassified non-coding RNA, 253 nt
Filed under: uncultured Eubacteriales bacterium
Lineage: Bacteria; Bacillati; Bacillota; Clostridia; Eubacteriales
Description: contains 16S-23S intergenic spacer region
Rfam family: Bacterial small subunit ribosomal RNA
Source: RNAcentral
UACGUAGGGGGCAAGCGUUAUCCGGAUUUACUGGGUGUAAAGGGAGCGUGGACGGUCUGGCAAGUCUGGUGUGAAAGGCUGGGGCUCAACCCCGGGACUGCAUUGGAAACUGUCAGACUUGAGUGCCGGAGAGGUAAGCGGAAUUCCUGGUGUAGCGGUGAAAUGCGUAGAUAUCAGGAGGAACACCAGUGGCGAAGGCGGCUUACUGGACGGUAACUGACGUUGAGGCUCGAAGACGUGGGGAGCAAACAGG